This 553-nucleotide ribosomal RNA is filed under the name Culicoides imicola. Its description in RNAcentral is "partial 16S ribosomal RNA". It matches the Rfam family "Bacterial large subunit ribosomal RNA", at positions 1797 to 2619 of the family's 2925-position model. The record is from RNAcentral. Lineage: Eukaryota; Metazoa; Arthropoda; Insecta; Diptera; Ceratopogonidae.
CGCCUGUUUAUCAAAAACAUGUCUUUUUGAUUAAAUAAAAAGUGUAGCCUGCCCGGUGAAUUUUUAACGGCCGCAGUAUACUGACUGAGCAAAGGUAGCAUAAUCUAUUGUCUUUUAAUUAAAGGCUUGUAUGAAUGGUUGAAUGAGAUAUUAACUAUUUUUAUUUUAAUAAAAAUGAAUUUUAAUUUUUAGUAAAAAUGCUAAAAUAAAAGAAUUAGACGAGAAGACCCUAUAAAUGUUAAUUUUAUUUUUUAUAAUAUUAAUUUUGAAAAUUUUUAAUAGAUUAUAAAAAUAGAAUUUUAUUGGGAGGAUAAUGAAAUUUAAUAAACUGUUAUUUUUUUUUAUAAAUAUAAUUAAAUUAUUGAAUAUAUAAUUAUAAAAUAUUUAAAAAAUUAAGUUACUUUAGGGAUCACAGCGUAAUUAUUUUAAAGAGUUCUUAUCGAUAAAAUAGUUUGCGACCUCGAUGUUGAAUUAAGAAUUAAUUUACGUGUAAAAGUUCAAAUUUUAAGUCUGUUCUACUUUUGAAUUCUUACAUGAUCUGAGUUCAUACCGG